RNAcentral lists this ribosomal RNA (484 nucleotides) under uncultured bacterium. Its description in RNAcentral is "partial 16S ribosomal RNA". It matches the Rfam family "Bacterial small subunit ribosomal RNA", at positions 30 to 507 of the family's 1533-position model. The record is from RNAcentral.
AUUGAACGCUGGCGGCAGGCCUAACACAUGCAAGUCGAGCGGAUGAAGGGAGCUUGCUCCUGGAUUCAGCGGCGGACGGGUGAGUAAUGCCUAGGAAUCUGCCUGGUAGUGGGGGAUAACGUCCGUAAACGGGCGCUAAUACCGCAUACGUCCUGAGGGAGAAAGUGGGGGAUCUUCGGACCUCACGCUAUCAGAUGAGCCUAGGUCGGAUUAGCUAGUUGGUGGGGUAAAGGCCUACCAAGGCGACGAUCCGUAACUGGUCUGAGAGGAUGAUCAGUCACACUGGAACUGAGACACGGUCCAGACUCCUACGGGAGGCAGCAGUGGGGAAUAUUGGACAAUGGGCGAAAGCCUGAUCCAGCCAUGCCGCGUGUGUGAAGAAGGUCUUCGGAUUGUAAAGCACUUUAAGUUGUGAGGAAGGGCAGUAAGUUAAUACCUUGCUGUUUUGACGUUACCAACAGAAUAAGCACCGGCUAACUUCGUG